Molecule: ribosomal RNA, 494 nt
Filed under: Kurixalus eiffingeri (big-thumbed treefrog)
Lineage: Eukaryota; Metazoa; Chordata; Amphibia; Anura; Rhacophoridae
Description: partial 12S rRNA
Rfam family: Bacterial small subunit ribosomal RNA
Source: RNAcentral
GCCCAGCCGUAUANNAUCACUUUCNCUUACCUGCGCCUGGGCUAUUUCGUGUCNAACUUAAAACCCAAAGGACUUGACGGUGUCCUACCCCCUACUAGAGGAGCCUGUUCUAUAACCGAUAAUCCACGUUAUACCUAACCAUCCCUUGCCUAUCAGCCUGUAUACCUCCGUCGCAAGCUUACCAUAUGAACGCAUAACUGUAGGCUCUAGGACUUAACGCCAUAACGUCAGGUCAAGGUGCAGCUUAUGAGAUGGAAAGUAAUGGGCUACAAUCUCUAAAUUAGAACAAACGAAAAACUACAUGAAACAUAGACAUGAGGGUGGAUUUAGUAGUAAAUAAGGAAUAGAGAGCCUUAUUAAACUUGGCCCUGGGACGUGUACAAACCGCCCGUCACCCUCUUCAAUAGCCACUGAUAGCUUAAUAACCUUACUCUGCAAAUCAGAAGAGGCAAGUCGUAACACGGUAAGUGUACUGGAAAGUGCACUUGGCACAA